AUCCAGAUGACGAGUCCUAAAAAUAGGACGAGACGCGCGUCCUAGAU
RNAcentral lists this non-coding RNA (47 nucleotides) under Schistosoma mansoni. Lineage: Eukaryota; Metazoa; Platyhelminthes; Trematoda; Strigeidida; Schistosomatidae. The record is from RNAcentral.